UCCAGAGGGUGCGAGCGUUGUUCGGAAUUAUUGGGCGUAAAGGGCGCGUAGGCGGUGCGGUAAGUCACCUGUGAAAUCUCCUGGCUCAACUGGGAGCUUGCAGGCGAAACUGCCGUGCUGGAGUGUGGGAGAGGUGCGUGGAAUUCCUGGUGUAGCGGUGAAAUGCGUAGAUAUCAGGAGGAACACCUGUGGCGAAAGCGGCGCACUGGACCACAACUGACGCUGAGGCGCGAAAGCUAGGGGAGCAAACAGG
Molecule: ribosomal RNA, 253 nt
Filed under: uncultured bacterium
Lineage: Bacteria
Description: partial 16S ribosomal RNA
Rfam family: Bacterial small subunit ribosomal RNA
Source: RNAcentral